ACGGUCGCGUAACACGUAAGCAACCUGCCUCAAAGUGGGGGACAACAGAUCGAAAGGUCUGCUAAUACCGCAUGUGGUCCGAUUCUCGCAUGGGAUUUGGACUAAAGCCUUGUGCGCUUUGAGAUGGGCUUGCGGCCUAUCAGGUAGUUGGUGGGGUAACGGCCUACCAAGCCGACGACGGGUAGCUGGUCUGAGAGGACGAUCAGCCGGAUUGGGACUGAGAUACGGCCCAGACUCCUACGGGGGGCAGCAAUUAGGAAUCUUGCACAAUGGGGGAAACCCUGAUGCAGCGACGCCGCGUGCGGGACGAAGGCAUUCGUGUCGUAAACCGCUUUUUUAGGGGAAGAAGAAUGUGACGGUACCCUAAGAAUAAGCCCCGGCUAACUACGUGCCAGCAGCCGCGGUAAUACGUAGGGGGCGAGCGUUGUCCGAAGUUACUGGGCGUAAAGCGCGCGUAGGCGGUCAUUUAAGUCUGGGGUGAAAGGUUCAACGCUCAACGUGAACAGUGCCUUGGAUACUGGGUGACUUGAGUUCGGGAGGGGGCAGUGGAAUUCCAGGUGUAGCGGUGAAAUGCGUAGA
Molecule: ribosomal RNA, 579 nt
Filed under: uncultured bacterium
Lineage: Bacteria
Description: bacterial SSU rRNA
Rfam family: Bacterial small subunit ribosomal RNA
Source: RNAcentral